AUAACAUCAAAGUGCACGAAUUUGAAGAUUUGAGCAAGUUGGAAAAACCGAAUUCUGUGAUUUUUGGGCAAAUGUCAAGACUUAUAUCUCUGUGAUUAUUUAUUGUUUUUGUUGUUUAAAAGUUGUUAGGUGUAUCUUGUUAUGUGGUAUUUAACCUCCAAAAGGAAUAAGGUCUAUAUCUAUUGUGGAUCAAAAGUUAUUUAAGGUCAAAGUGAGUUAACCGGCAUUGACCGGCUGUUCUUCAAACCCAGAAAAUAUUCUAAGUGUCCAGAA
RNAcentral lists this long non-coding RNA (273 nucleotides) under Panax ginseng (ginseng). RNAcentral's name for it is "long non-coding RNA (PGIN_LNC016491)". Lineage: Eukaryota; Viridiplantae; Streptophyta; Magnoliopsida; Apiales; Araliaceae. The record is from RNAcentral.